AAAAGGAGCAUCAUUUGCCAUUGAGUACCACACUCAACCGCCCAAAGAUCACAAAAACGCCAUUGUAGCUACUCAAUCCUAGCAUUAAUUAAGUUUGUAAGAAGAAAUGAGGAGCACACAAAUCCUAUUCCUGGCAUUUGCCUUCUUGAUACUAUCGUCAGCUAUGGCAACUUCUAAGCCAGUAUGCAACCAUAUCCUCAAAAAGGGACAUUGUAACAACAAUGAUUGCCGAGCGUACUGCAAAAAGUUCAUCCCCCCACCCGGUGGCCCAUCUCCCAAGUGCAUACCCGAGGGAUGCCAGUGUUAUGUAUGUGGAUGACUACCACCAAACCUGGAAUCUAUCUAGAUAAAAAAUUCAUAUACAUGGAUGUAUCACAGUUGCUUGAGUAAUGAAUAAUGAUUUGAGUAAUA
Triticum aestivum (bread wheat) is the source of this 411-nucleotide long non-coding RNA. RefSeq lists it as uncharacterized. NCBI's taxonomy places the organism in Eukaryota, Viridiplantae, Streptophyta, Magnoliopsida, Poales, Poaceae. The record is from RefSeq and is a predicted model, not a curated record. The transcript is spliced from 2 exons.